GAAUUUUAUAAAAAAUAUUUUUAAUUAGUUUAAAGUAAAUAUUUAAUAUUUAAUUGGGAGGAUUAUUAAAUUUAUAAAACUUUAAUAUAUAAAAAAAUAGAUUAAUGAAUUUAAUAAUAAUAGAUUGGUUUAAAUAUGUAAGGGGAAUAAAUUACCUUAGGGAUAACAGCGUAAUAUUUUUAGAAAGAUCAUAUUUAUAAAAAUUAUUGC
This 210-nucleotide ribosomal RNA is filed under the name Apterostigma pilosum. RNAcentral's name for it is "partial large subunit ribosomal RNA". The record is from RNAcentral. Lineage: Eukaryota; Metazoa; Arthropoda; Insecta; Hymenoptera; Formicidae.